ACCACAUUUUGGUCAAAUCUCUCAAAGCAUCAGGCAGGCAAAAAUGAUAGCUUUGCUUCAGCUUGUUUUCUUUUCAGCAGCUUUAGGAGGUAAAUUCCUCAUACCAGUUAUCAAAGGUUGGUUCAUUCUGGGUGUUGUUAACAUGCAGCAGAUUACUUAAAAUGCCUUUCUUUCCAGGUGUCCAAUCAGAGGUCCAGCUGGUGGAGUCUACAGGAGAUGUGAAAAGGCCUGGGAGUUCCUCCGCCUCUCCUGUCGAGCCUCUGGGUUUAACUUUGGGGGCUAUGGCAUGCACUGGGUGAGACAGGUUCCAGGGAAGGGCCUGGAAUGGGUGGCCUACAUAAGCCACAAUUCAGGUGCAAUGUACUAUCUGGAUAAAGUGAAGGGAAGAUUCACCAUCUCCAGGGACAAUUCCAACAGCCUCCUCUAUCUGCAAAUGAACAGCCUUAAAUCGGAAGACACGGCUGUGUAUUACUGUG
Podarcis lilfordi (Lilford's wall lizard) is the source of this 476-nucleotide non-coding RNA. The record is from the annotation of a GenBank genome assembly. Lineage: Eukaryota; Metazoa; Chordata; Lepidosauria; Squamata; Lacertidae.